AGCGCAGGUGGUUGUAUAAGUCUGAAGUAAAAGGCAGUGGCUCAACCAUUGUGUGCUUUGGAAACUGUACAACUUGAGUGCAGAAGGGGAGAGUGGAAUUCCAUGUGUAGCGGUGAAAUGCGUAGAUAUAUGGAGGAACAUCGGUGGCGAAAGCGGCUCUCUGGGCCGCUACUGACGCUGAGGAGCGAAAGCAUGGGGAGCGAACA
Molecule: ribosomal RNA, 206 nt
Filed under: uncultured bacterium
Lineage: Bacteria
Description: partial 16S ribosomal RNA
Rfam family: Bacterial small subunit ribosomal RNA
Source: RNAcentral